This 160-nucleotide ribosomal RNA is filed under the name Caloboletus rubripes. RNAcentral's name for it is "5.8S ribosomal RNA". It matches the Rfam family "5.8S ribosomal RNA". Rfam says of the family: 5.8S ribosomal RNA (5.8S rRNA) is a component of the large subunit of the eukaryotic ribosome. It is transcribed by RNA polymerase I as part of the 45S precursor that also contains 18S and 28S rRNA. Functionally, it is thought that 5.8S rRNA may be involved in ribosome translocation. Lineage: Eukaryota; Fungi; Basidiomycota; Agaricomycetes; Boletales; Boletaceae. The record is from RNAcentral.
CAACUUUCAGCAACGGAUCUCUUGGCUCUCGCAUCGAUGAAGAGCGCAGSGAAUUGCGAUAAGUAAUGUGAAUUGCAGAUUUUCAGUGAAUCAUCGAAUCUUUGARCGCACCUUGCGCUCCUUGGUAUUCCGAGGAGCAUGCCUGUUUGAGUGUCAUCGA